Molecule: long non-coding RNA, 230 nt
Filed under: Vigna radiata
Lineage: Eukaryota; Viridiplantae; Streptophyta; Magnoliopsida; Fabales; Fabaceae
Description: long non-coding RNA (VRAD_LNC011126)
Source: RNAcentral
AGGACGCCCAUUUCCUCUCCUAUUUUUUUUAAGACCAAGCCAUGGAAAGUCCCACAUUGCUUGUUCUUAAAGAGAACAAAGAGUUUAUAAGCGUUUAUUCACAAGAACUAAGAGAAAGAAAUCAAAGAGGCAAAUACACGCCUAUGAAACCUACACUAUUCUUUUUAAUUCUUUUUGUCACUCUAAAAGCUCUUCAUUGUUGCCCCAUCUAUGAUCAUAUCAUCCCCCCA